GAUUAACGCUAGCGGCAGGCCUAAUACAUGCAAGUCGAACGGCAGCACGGGUAGCAAUACCUGGUGGCGAGUGGCGCACGGGUGCGUAACGCGUAUGCAAUCUACCUGUAACUGGGGAAUAGCCUUCCGAAAGGAAGAUUAAUACCGCAUAAUAUCACGAGACGGCAUCGUUUUGUGAUCAAAUCUCCGGAGGUUACAGAUGAGCAUGCGUGACAUUAGCUAGUUGGUGAGGUAACGGCUCACCAAGGCUACGAUGUCUAGGGGGUCUGAGAGGAUGAUCCCCC
RNAcentral lists this ribosomal RNA (284 nucleotides) under uncultured bacterium. RNAcentral describes it as "partial 16S ribosomal RNA". It matches the Rfam family "Bacterial small subunit ribosomal RNA", at positions 28 to 309 of the family's 1533-position model. The record is from RNAcentral.